GUCGAACGCGAAAGCUCCCUUCGGGGAACAAGUAGAGUGGCGCACGGGUGAGUAACACGUAGGUAAUCUACCUUUGGAUUGGGAAUAACACCGAGAAAUCGGUGCUAAUACCGAAUAAUGCAGCGGCACCUAAUGGUGACAGUUGUUAAAGCGGGGGAUCGCAAGACUUCGCGUCUAAAGAGGAGCCUGCGGCGGAUUAGCUAGUUGGUAAGGUAACGGCUUACCAAGGCGAUGAUCCGUAGCCGGCCUGAGAGGGCGGUCGGCCACACUGACACUGACAUACGGGUCAGACUCCUACGGGAGGCAGCAGUCGGGAAUUUUGGGCAAUGGGCGAAAGCCUGACCCAGCAACGCCGCGUGAAGGAUGAAAUCCCUCGGGAUGUAAACUUCGCAAGAACGGGAAGAAUAAGUCGGUGCUAACACCAUCGGCGAUGACGGUACUGUUUGUAAGCUCCGGCUAACUCCGUGCCAGCAGCCGCGGUAAUACGGGGGGAGCAAGCGUUGUUCGGAUUUACUGGGCGUAAAGGGCGCGUAGGCGGCCACCGCAAGUCAACUGUGAAAUCUCCGGGCUUAACUCGGAAAGGUCAGCCGAUACUGCGGGGCUAGAGUGCAGAAGGGGCAACUGGAAUUCUCGGUGUAGCGGUGAAAUGCGUAGAUAUCGAGAGGAACACCUGCGGCGAAGGCGGGUUGCUGGGCUGACACUGACGCUGAUUGUGCGAAAGCUAGGGGAGCGAACGGGAUUAGAUACCCCGGUAGUCCUAGCCUUAAACGAUGAAUGCUUGGUGUCU
Molecule: ribosomal RNA, 787 nt
Filed under: uncultured Bacillota bacterium
Lineage: Bacteria; Bacillati; Bacillota
Description: bacterial SSU rRNA
Rfam family: Bacterial small subunit ribosomal RNA
Source: RNAcentral